CCUACGGGUGGCAGCAGUGAGGAAUAUUGGUCAAUGGGCGCGAGCCUGAACCAGCCAAGUAGCGUGAGGGAGUACUGCCCUAUGGGUUGUAAACCUCUUUUGUCGGGGAGCAAAAGCCGGACGUGUCCGGCUGUGAGAGUACCCGAAGAAAAAGCAUCGGCUAACUCCGUGCCAGCAGCCGCGGUAAUACGGAGGAUGCGAGCGGUAACCGGAUUUAUUGGGUUUAAAGGGUGCGCAGGCGGGUUUUUAAGUCAUCGGUAAAAUCGUGGGGCUCAACCCCAUCCAGCCGUUGAAACUGGGGAUCUAGAGUGUGCGUGAGGUAUGCGGAAUGCGUGGUGUAGCGGUGAAAUGCAUAGAUAUCACGCAGAACCCCGAUUGCGAAGGCAGCAUACCGGUGCACAACUGACGCUCAGGCACGAAAGCGUGGGUAUCGAACAGGAUUAGAUACCCGGGUAGUC
RNAcentral lists this ribosomal RNA (458 nucleotides) under uncultured bacterium. RNAcentral describes it as "partial 16S ribosomal RNA". It matches the Rfam family "Bacterial small subunit ribosomal RNA", at positions 338 to 795 of the family's 1533-position model. The record is from RNAcentral.